This is a long non-coding RNA of Cannabis sativa, 1268 nucleotides long. RefSeq lists it as uncharacterized. NCBI's taxonomy places the organism in Eukaryota, Viridiplantae, Streptophyta, Magnoliopsida, Rosales, Cannabaceae. The transcript is spliced from 4 exons. The record is from RefSeq and is a predicted model, not a curated record.
CUUAUUUCAUUUCGAUCGAGCUCUCUUUUUCCCUCUCUUUUUCUCUGAACAGCGCUCUCUUUCCCUCUCUUUCUCUCUUACUUCCUCCUCAACCUAACCCUUACAUCUCUCUCACCUAGCCAAAGAAUCCCUAACCUCCUUCUACUGUGUUUGUGUUUACCCCAAACCUUCGUUGGUUGGUUGAAGAAACAGAGAACGUUUCUGCAGCUACACUACAUAAGCGCUCCAUUUGACUUCACCCACCGAACAACCCACUUUUCCACCCCUUCAUCACUAAUCCCUAUCAGGAGCAGAAGUUGGGAUAAGGCAACCCAACGAUAUUGUCCCAAAGUCAAGUAAUAACGAAAUUAAUGGAUCGGGAUUUGAGCCACAAAACCAUCAAUAUACUUACGCUGAAGUAAUGAGAAUUACCAACAACUUUGAGAAAGUUAUUGGAAAAGGAGGAUUUGGAACUGUUUAUCAUGGCUUCUUAAACAACACUCAAGUGGCAGUCAAGAUGCUCUCGGAGUCAUCAGCUCAGGGCUACAAGGAGCUUCAAGCCGAGCUUUUCAAUUGUGGUAGUAUCUUUUGAAGAAAUUGUUUGAACGCUAGCUUGGAAUUGGUAAGCUACUCAAACUUUAUUUCUUUAUAUUUUAUAAAUCCUAGAAGAGUUUGAAUAUCCUAGAUAUUCAUCCAUAGUGAAGUAAGUUCUGGAAUUGCAUGACUGCGGUCGGAUGGGUGGUAAUAUUUGUACUGUUAAUUAUAGUUUUGUUUGUUUGUAUUAUUGUGGAUGUUUUAAUAGAUUAGUUACAUGUUUAAAAUUUUCGGGAACGUCCGAAUUAUAGAUGUUAUGCUGUCGAAAUUUCGGUAGAAAUUUCAGUAGGAUUAAUAUUUUAUUAAAUUAAUUAGGUUAAGUUGAUAUAGAAUUAUUUUAUUGUAUUAAUUAGGUUAAUUAAAUUGUUGUUUUGUUGUUUUGUUAGAAGUUUCGAAAUGGAUAGAGAUUGGAUGAGUGCGAAUAGGUUAACGGUAAAAUAUAGGGAAGGUGUUGACUUCUUUUUGGAGUUUUCUGCAAAGAAUGCGGAUAAUCCUGAUUUGGUUCAUUGCCCAUGUCUCAAAUGUGGUAACAUGGAGCGUAUGAAAAUUGCCCAAAUAAGAGAACAUUUGUUUAAGAACGGUAUAGACAGGAGUUAUAAGGUUUGGUAUCACCACGGAGAAAAAAUUAGAAGAUCGGGCGAGGGACCCUCUAGAAAGGAUAAGAUUGUUAAUAAUGUGGAGUAUGAAGAUGAUCA